CGAACGGGUGAGUAACGCGUGAGCAACCUGCCUAUGACAGUGGGAUAGCCUCGGGAAACCGGGAUUAAUACCGCAUAAAAUCGUAGAAACACAUGUUUUAACGGUCAAAGAUUUAUCGGUCAUAGAUGGGCUCGCGUCUGAUUAGCUAGUUGGUGAGAUAACAGCCCACCAAGGCGACGAUCAGUAGCCGGUCUGAGAGGAUGACCGGCCACAUUGGGACUGAGAUACGGCCCAG
Molecule: ribosomal RNA, 235 nt
Filed under: uncultured Eubacteriales bacterium
Lineage: Bacteria; Bacillati; Bacillota; Clostridia; Eubacteriales
Description: uncultured Clostridiales bacterium partial 16S ribosomal RNA
Rfam family: Bacterial small subunit ribosomal RNA
Source: RNAcentral